ACCCGUCGUUGCCCGCACUUCUCACCGCAUCGAGAUGCCCUGGAGAACCUCGAAGAGCGCCAGCUCAGAACCGUGCAGCUCCAAAGCAUCCCGGAGCACCACCGCAGUCCCGGCGGCAGCUGUUCCCAUCGUCACCUCAAACGUGCGCUGGACCCUCCCAGCACCCCUCUUCACUAGAAGAUCACCGGAGCACUGCCGCUGCAGUUUUCCUCUGUUUAAGGUUAGCACGCCACACAUAGGACAUUUUUUGACAAAUCAUGGACUGCCACAUGGCACCCGCACAGCACAGCAUCAACAUCUUCAAAACACUGCCACAGUAGAGUUUUCGCCACAUUCAUAUCAAUUUUCCUUUAGCUAACUUGAGAUCUGUAAAACCAAAUCGAGUGAUUCUUUUCCUACAUGUCUAUAUUGAUCUCUAUCUAGUAGAAUCAUUUUUUUACUCCCAAACUUUUCAAAUUGAGCAAUUCAAAUUUGAAUUCGAAACUUCAUUUGACCUUAUCUUACAACCCGUAUAUCGAAUUUGAAUGAUUCCUUUUGCCCGUGAAACCCUUGUACCAAAUACUUGCUGAUCACAUCUUGUGUACUCUAUAUUCAAAUAAUUCUUGAACUGUUUUGAAUUCAAAUUCAACCCACACUUCAUCUCGCUAUAACUUGUGUUGUAGUAUUUCUUUUCAAUUAAUUCUUUCGCCAAAUGAGUCCAUAUGGCAUAUGCAAUAUGUCAAACAACUUGCAUGUUGUUCUUCAAAUACUUUUGACCUUGUUCUAUAUUAUCUCAGGCAUAAGCUUUUAUAGCAAUAUCUCUCUCUGUAUUAACUCUUGUGAGUUGAUCCUUCUACCUUCACCUUCUAGCACCAUCGAGAACCUAUAUCAUAUAAUAGGCCUAGUCAUGUUGUUCUUGUUCAACCUUGUCAUAUUUGUUUUGUUGUUCUUUUGGUUCUUCUAUAUGGCAUGGUUAUUGAUUUGAGUUCUUUCUUUAACGAUAGAUUGCUCAGAGCGUGACGAGUAGAAUUAUCAGGAUUAUGAGUGCGACGAUCUUCGCCAAAUAUACCAGGCAAGUUACACCUUGAUCAUGCUUCAUCCUAUUUUUUCAUGAAUGUAGUAUAUAUAUAUCACAUUACUAUAUUAUGCAUAUGUGUAGGAAUAUUAUGGUAGUAUGAUAUUGCUAUUGAGUUUCAGCUUAGUAUGGCCUUAUUGUAGAUUGUGGUAGUGUGUUCUUGCUAUGUUAUGUAGAUGGGGAUUGGUUCGUGUAUACAUUGAGCUUAUGUGAGGAUUAUAUAUAUAAUUAACUAAGUAGUAAUUAAUGAUAUAAUUCACCUGUGGGCGGAACUGGUAUUGAUGGGUGGUUUCAAGAACAUCAUGUUUAUACCCUCUGAAUGUAAGUGGACGGCCGCCCAGGCUCAAAAAGAUCAGACAGACUUAGUGACUAGUAGCUUCCAUGCGCAACCACUAGCUAAAUGGGCUCUGGCUUAGUUGAGUAGGUUGUGGGAUCCUCACCCAGUUAAGCUAGCAGAUGUAGAUAUGAGUAGGUGUAUCGGCUGCUGGUGGGUGGAGGUGACUACUUCUAAAAGACUUCGUCUCAAUCUUCGGGUUGAGUCUAGUGGGUAAAGUGUGCAAAACUCUACAGAUUAUUAAAAACUAAUCAUGAUUAGCCGUGCCCCGGUUAUGGGCAAAUUUUGAGCCACUAUGCCAUUACAGUUGUUGGGUGAUCUUGAAAGAUGAUACCUUAAUAAAAUUUUGUGGGAAAUUUAAUAAUGGGGAUAGGUUGGAGUUGGAUUGCCCAAUUCAGCCAUGUGUAUUUAAUUGUAGCAAGACAAAAAUAAAAUUGGACUAUUAUAUUAAGUAGUUAUCAGGUAAAAAUUAGCUUUCUACAAAGCAACCACUACACAAUCCUCUUGAUAUACCUUGCAUAUAGAUGUAGGUCUAUUAUAUCAUUCCUUGUGUGACUUGCCAAUACAUUCAAAGUAUUGACCAUCCGUGAAUGCAACGUUUCAUGUUGCAGAUUUUGUACGACGAGUGAGUGAUACGAUGUAGGGUUACGAUGUCUAUACUCGACAUUUUCCUGUGGUGUUGAUGGAUUCCAUGGAGAUUUUAAUUGCUUUUUUGAUGCAUUUUGUUUGUAUGAGCUAUGGAGGUAUGUAUUAUACUAAAUUCUGGAUCUACGAUGUAAUAUUAUGACAUGUGGUUUAUUCUUGAUAUUACAUCUUGU
Molecule: long non-coding RNA, 2206 nt
Filed under: Triticum aestivum (bread wheat)
Lineage: Eukaryota; Viridiplantae; Streptophyta; Magnoliopsida; Poales; Poaceae
Description: long non-coding RNA (TAES_LNC001561)
Source: RNAcentral